CCCCCUUGCAAUAACUUCAAGGUGCCUCUGGGGAGCGCUCCUCCAUCCUCAAGUCACUGAAUCUUGAUUGAAAUUCAUGGAUUUCAACAAAAAGCAGUCGUGCGGGGAGGUGAUCAGAACCUCCGCAUCAGCGGCAGGGGCGCUGGCAGUGAUGUUUACACGGAAU
Suricata suricatta (meerkat) is the source of this 166-nucleotide long non-coding RNA. RefSeq lists it as uncharacterized. Lineage: Eukaryota; Metazoa; Chordata; Mammalia; Carnivora; Herpestidae. The record is from RefSeq and is a predicted model, not a curated record. The transcript has 3 exons.